GACGAACGCUGGCGGCGUGCUUAACACAUGCAAGUCGAACGGAAAGGCCCUGCUUUUGUCGGGUGCUCGAGUGGCGAACGGGUGAGUAACACGUGAGUAACCUGCCCUUGACUUUGGGAUAACUUCAGGAAACUGGGGCUAAUACCGGAUAGGAGCUCCUGCUGCAUGGUGGGGGUUGGAAAGUUUCGGCGGUUGGGGAUGGACUCGCGGCUUAUCAGCUUGUUGGUGGGGUAGUGGCUUACCAAGGCUUUGACGGGUAGCCGGCCUGAGAGGGUGACCGGCCACAUUGGGACUGAGGUACGGCCCAGACUCCUACGGGAGGCAGCAGUGGGGAAUAUUGCACAAUGGGCGGAAGCCUGAUGCAGCAACGCCGCGUGCGGGAUGACGGCCUUCGGGUUGUAAACCGCUUUCGCCUGUGACGAAGCGUGAGUGACGGUAAUGGGUAAAGAAGCACCGGCUAACUACGUG
Molecule: ribosomal RNA, 468 nt
Filed under: uncultured bacterium
Lineage: Bacteria
Description: partial 16S ribosomal RNA
Rfam family: Bacterial small subunit ribosomal RNA
Source: RNAcentral